This 88-nucleotide microRNA precursor is filed under the name Populus trichocarpa (black cottonwood). Its description in RNAcentral is "miR536 stem-loop (ptc-MIR536)". Its record names the gene ptc-MIR536. The record is from miRBase by way of RNAcentral. Lineage: Eukaryota; Viridiplantae; Streptophyta; Magnoliopsida; Malpighiales; Salicaceae.
AGGAAGGUUUCAGACGCUCGCCAGCGUUGCACCACCAAAACUUGCAAAAGUUCUGAUGGUGCCACGCUGUGUGCGUCUAAAAUCUCUU